UUUUUUUUUUUUUGCUUUUUAGGGCCGCACCCAUGACAUAUGGACGUUCCCAGGCUAGGGGUCUGAUCAGAGCUGUAGCCGCCUGCCUAUGCCACAGCCACAGCAACACGGGAUCUGAGCUGCUUCUGCGACCUACAUCACAGCUCAUGGCAACGCCAGAUCCUUAACCCACUGAGUGAGGCCAGGGAUCAAACCCACAACCUCAUGGUUCCUAGUCAGAUUCUUUAACCACUGAGUCACGACAGGAACUCCCUGGAGUCAGUUCUUAUGUUCAGUUCAGAAACUCUGGGUCCUAGCUAAAGCCUUUAUUUUAGCAGGCACUCACCCUCUUUAGGCUUAACAGAGAGGUGCUGGACUACUUUUGUGAGCCGGGGUUCCACUGGCAGUUUCAUUUUCAGAGUCUUUGGUGAUAUUCUUUUAUUCUGCUUGGUUUUUCUGGGGUUCCUGGGUCUCCCACCGGCCUCUGCUCAGGUGGCCAAGAGGGUGCAAGGAGUCUCCCUGGGCCUGGAUGCCAUGAGUCUCUGGAUGGGGAGGGAAGUGUCAGACCUGCUGUGGUUGCGUGUUGUGGCAGGAUCCCUCUGGCAUAUUCCACCUGCUCACCCUGUGUGCCCCUUGUGGGGAAAGAGGGUGCUUCCCCUGUGUGUUUAUUGUCAGUGGGGCUCCCCAUCAAUCCCCCUGGCCAGCGGUGUUGGGCUCACCUGAUGUUGGCAGAGGGGCUCCCGUACCCUUGCUUACCUGGGCUGCCUUCUGUUGUCAGGUUGCGGGGCGGGAAACAGUAGGUCCAGGUUGUCUCCUUUGGUUGGGUGGGGGGAUCAUGAGAUGCCUUGCCGCUGGGUUGUUCUCCAGUCUUGGGCUUCCAAACCAGUUGAUCUUCGUCUUAUCUGUCAGAGCACCCCUUCGGUUGCCCCUUACUUUAUAGUCAUGCUCUCCAGGGAGAAGCAGGGGGAAGUGAAUCUAUGUCAACUUGGCUGACCGGAAGUCUGGGAAGCACAUUUUUAGGGCUAUUGACUUGCAUUGUCAAACUGUUUUCUUGCAAGGCUAGCUAGCUGUUGCUUUGCUAGAGGAGAAAAAAAAAUUCCGUUAUGGGAGAAGGGUGGGGGUCACUAAAAGGAGGAGGCAGGUGGGUAGAAAUCUGUGUCCUGGUGUCCCCACAAAUCUUGAGGAAGGUGGGGUUAGUUAGGAUAAAGGGGAAAUCAGCAGCACUGGAGAAGAAUCACACCAGGAAGUAAAACCCCACAGCUUAAGUGAGGCAUAUAGUGUUUCCUGACGUUCCCCACACACCGGUCAGGUUGGAGACCUGCUGCUGUGUAGUAACUGUCUUGUAUGUAUUUCAGUAUUUUAAUAAUCAUCGAGAUUUAUAUAGCAGAUUGUACAUCCCAAAUGGCCAUAACGAGAUCACCAUCCAACAUGUUCUUCUUAAUGAGGUGACUUUGACACUCCUCCCAUUGAGAAGUGGGGUCUGAGUUCCCUUUCCUUUAAUCUGGGGGAAGGGGUUAACUCUGGAGUAAGUCAGGGGAUGUGACUUCCAAGAUUAGGUCAUAAAAUGUGACAGAGCUUCUACCCAGUUCUCUUGGGACAUUCCCUUUAGGAACCCAGCCACCAUCCUGUCAGGAAGCCAAGGAGCCAUAGAGAAAGUCUACACAUAGCUAUUCUGGCUGUUAUGGAUUGAAUAUUUGUGACCUCAUAAGUUGAAGCCCUAACCCCUGAGCUGAUGGUAUCUGGAGGCGGGGUGUGGGGGUGGGGUGGGGGGGUGGGGGGAGUCCUUGGGGAGGUAAUUAGAUUUAGAUGAAGUCAUGAGAGUGGAGUCCCCAUGAAAGGAUUAAUGCCCUGAUUAAAAAAGGAAGAGAUGCCAGAGCUUCCUCUCUCCACCACAUGACAAUACAGCGGGAAGGCCGCUGUCUGCAAGUCAGAAAGAGGGCCCUUACCAAGGACAGAAUCUGCUGGCACCUUGGUUAUAGACUUCCCAGCCUUCAGAACUACAAGAAACAAGUGUCUGCCUCUAAAGCCACCCAGUCUGUGGCAUUUUGCUCUUGAAGCUCAAGCUAAGACACUGACCAAUAGAUCCAGCUGAGAUCCCAACCAAGAGUUCACAUCGACUACCAGACGUGAGGGAGUGCCCUUCAGAUGAGUUCAGCCCCCAGCCUUCAAGCUACCCUGGAUGACACAGUGGGGAAUACAGACUAGCUUUCCCCAUCAAGCCCUGCCCAGAUUGAAAAUUUAAGAGCAAAAGAAUCAUUGGGGAGUUCCCGUCGUGGCGCAGUGGUUAACGAAUCCGACUAGGAACCAUGAGGUUGCGGGUUCGGUCCCUGCCCUUGCUCAGUGGGUUAACAAUCCGGCAUUGCCGUGAGCUGUGGUGUAGGUUGCAGACGUGGCUCGGAUCCCGCGUUGCUGUGGCUCUAGCGUAGGCCGCUCCGAUUCAACCCCUAGCCUGGGAACCUCCAUAUGCCGAGGGAGCGGCCCAAGAAAUAGCAACAAUAAUAACAACAACAACAACAAAAAGACAAAAGACAAAAAAAAAUAAUAAUAAUCAUUGGGUUUUUUUUUUUUUUUUAAGGUGCUACAUUUGGGGCAAUAGACAACCAGAAACAUCUUUAGUCAAAGAUGCCCAGAGGAAUAUCACACUGGCCACCUCUUCAUGGAUCCUACAUGUGAACACCCAUAGCGGCAUCUCCUGCCCUAAUUCCAAGGGGAUCUUAAGCCUUUAUCUCGCCAGUCAUCAUCUUGGGAAGCUGGAUAGGGAGGCAGAAAUAAAUAGCUUUGAGAAGGUGUCGAUAGAUAGCUAGAUAGAUAGAUGUAGAUAUCGAUUUAUGGCCACACUCACAAUAUAUGUGAGUUCCAAGGCCAGGGACUGAAUCCGAGACACAGCUGCAACCUACACCAGAACUGCAGCAAUGCUGGAUCCUUUAACCCACUGUGCCGGGCCAAGGAUCAAACCUGCACCUCCACGGCAACCUGAGCCGCUGCAGCCAGAUUCUUAAACCACAGUGCCACAGCAGGAAGUCCUGAGUUGUCUCAAUAUUUACCCCCACAGAGAAACUGUUUUACAUAAAACAGUUUUGUUGCCGUUUUUAAUUGUCUUUUUUAUGAAGACUUUCCAUACCAGCCACAUUUGUUCAGAGUUGAACGACUGCUUUGAGAAGAAUUUCAAACUUGGUGAAGGCUUCCCCUUUAUAGCCCUUGUUCAAAUUCCCCAACUGUUAACCCUCUACACUUGCUUUAUCAUUCCCCCCCUCCGUCUCUGGAAAGAGAUCUUUUAAAAAUCAAAUGGGAUUGAUUGAUCCCAUGAAACCUGGCUCAGGUAAGAUGGAGUAAACACACGGCACUUUGUUUCUCCCACUGAAUGCAACUAUAAAACCUAAACAAAACACAGCAAAUAGCUAUUGAAGAACUGUGAAAAAUAAGUAAUAGCAGAUAGACUGAGAAGCAGGACCAGAAUUUGGAGUACUGCCAAGCCAGCCGUGAACAAAUUUUUUUUCGUCUUUUUAGGGCUGUACCCAUGUAUAUGGAAGUUCCCAGGCUAGGGGACAAACUGGAGCUGCAGCUGCCUGUCUACACCACAGCCACAGCAACACAGGAUCCAAGCCACAUCUGUGACCUACACCACAGCUCAUGGCAACACUGGAUCCUUAAUCCACUGAGUGAGGCCAGGGAUCAAACCUGCGUCCUCAUGGAUACUAGUCCAGUUUGUUACUGCUGAGCCACAAGACAGGAACUCUGAAAAUCAUUUUUUUCCUCCAGUACUUCCCAGCCUGGACUCAGUGCAGCUUAAAGACUGGAAGUAUAUAUCAGGGCAGACAGAGAAAGGUCUAGAAGAAGCCCUCUAGUUCUGUUUGAGGAGCAGGAAAAGGUCUCCUAAUGCUCCUAAUUAGGGGCAAUCUCCCAGCUUUUCCUUUCUUUUUUUCUGUUCAUUUGCACCUCCAAGAAAUGCUAGGAUUUCUUGGUAGCAAAAGCCUGUACCUGCAGGAGCCCCAAACUCUGAAAGAUGGGCACCUUCUCCAGUCAGAGGAGCGAUGAGGGUAGGGCAAACUCCCAUUGCCUUUUCUUUCUCUCUGUUAAUUCACUGCUUAGUCCAGAAUACAGGCGCUGUCAUGGGAAAUGAUUGCCAGAACAGGGUAAACAAGGUCCCAGAUUUCUGGUUAGAGGACCAAAAAGGGAAGCCCCAGUGAACCAAAAAUUUAUUGAGGCAAUUACCGAGAGGGAAGAGCUCAGAAAGCAACCUAAUAGAGUUGUUACGAACUUCUGGGCUCCUCCCGCUGGAUGCAUGAAUGAGUUAAGCACUAAACAGUUCACACAGACUUCGAGAAUUUAUUACAGGAUAGACCACUGCCCAGGUUCCAGACAGACCACUGACUGGUGCACCACCCAGGACAGAUCCAAAGGAUAUGGGAAAGUCUUUGAAAAUAGACAUAACAUUAAAGCCACAGAAGGUUCAUUGAAACUCACAGCCUAAGCCCAAUCUGGUCAGCUGUCUGCUAAAACAAAAGUGUCAACAUUCUUCAUAGGAUCUUAAAAAGACUCUUCAGUAUUAUAACAUGGUAUUCAAAAUGUCCAGGAUCUAUUCCAAAUUACUUGACAUAUGAAGA
This 4583-nucleotide long non-coding RNA is filed under the name Sus scrofa (pig). Its description in RNAcentral is "lncRNA (ENSSSCG00055009920.1)". Lineage: Eukaryota; Metazoa; Chordata; Mammalia; Artiodactyla; Suidae. The record is from RNAcentral.